UACGAAGGGGGCUAGCGUUGUUCGGAAUCACUGGGCGUAAAGCGCGCGUAGGCGGUUUUGCAAGCCAGAGGUGAAAUGCCUGAGCUCAACUUAGGAAUUGCCUUUGGGACUGCGAGGCUUUGAGGACUGGAGAGGUGAGUGGAAUUCCCAAUGUAGAGGUGAAAUUCGUAGAUAUUGGGAAGAACACCGGUGGCGAAGGCGGCUCACUGGCCAGUUUCUGACGCUGCAGCGCGAAAGCGUGGGGAUCAAACAGG
RNAcentral lists this ribosomal RNA (254 nucleotides) under uncultured bacterium. Its description in RNAcentral is "partial 16S ribosomal RNA". It matches the Rfam family "Bacterial small subunit ribosomal RNA", at positions 524 to 776 of the family's 1533-position model. The record is from RNAcentral.